GUGUUUUUCUUAUUCUAAACAAAACAUUAUCUGCCACGAGCACCUCAUCUCUUCCCGCUUCUACUGAUUGUCGUCUCAUAUACCACCAUCCUCAAAAACCGUCAAACAGCGCUCGUCACGCCACCGUGAAUUUGGUUAUGGCUAGAUCUCCAGAUCAAAUAACUUUCUGGGAGCAUGUAUACUUUGAUUCUAUGAUUCACGGCGGCGAGGAAGACUAAUUGAAGAGGAGGCCGGUGUUGGAUUGUCGUCGGAAAUAGAGUUAGUUGUGUGGUUCAGUAAUUUAGAAAAUAGAUCGGCAGAUGCAGAUUUUAGAAGAUUAUAUUUAUGAUGAUGAAUGAUGAAAUCGUUGGUAGAAGAAGAUGGAAAAAAAAAGUUGAAGAUGCAGUGAAAUUGAUACUUUCUCUCUCUCACGUGCUGAAUUCAUAGGGGCAAAAGCGUCAGUCUGUGUUCACUUUGCUACAGGAAUUGGUAUUUUACAGUUAGUGGGCUAGUUUCCUAAUUUUGUUCUCAUUCGUGUAUAUAUGGCAAAUUAUCUCUUUAAUAAAUUUUUAAAUUAAUAUAUA
Long non-coding RNA from Brassica rapa (field mustard), 563 nucleotides. RefSeq lists it as uncharacterized. The record is from RefSeq and is a predicted model, not a curated record. NCBI's taxonomy places the organism in Eukaryota, Viridiplantae, Streptophyta, Magnoliopsida, Brassicales, Brassicaceae.